RNAcentral lists this ribosomal RNA (329 nucleotides) under uncultured eukaryote. RNAcentral describes it as "partial 18S ribosomal RNA". It matches the Rfam family "Eukaryotic small subunit ribosomal RNA", at positions 1470 to 1796 of the family's 1831-position model. The record is from RNAcentral.
CCCUUAGAUGUUCUGGGCCGCACGCGCGCUACACUGACGGAGGCAGCGAGCGUGUCCUUCGCCGGCAGGUGCGGGCAAUCUUGCGAGUCUCUGUCGUGCUGGGGAUAGAUGGUUGCAAUUGUCGAUCUUGAACGAGGAAUUCCUAGUAAGCGCGAGUCAUCAGCUCGCGCUGAUUACGUCCCUGCCCUUUGUACACACCGCCCGUCGCUACUACAGAGUGCCCGUGUCCAAGAAACGGUCGGACCUGUGCGGCCUCUCCGGGCGACCGGAGGGCCGUUACGGGGAAGACCCUUUAUUUGACGCGGGUCGAUGAAGUAAAAGUCGUAACA